UCCCACCGCGGACCCCGCGUCCGGGAAGGCGCCCCGCGUUCCCCCUUCCGCCUCGGGCAGCGGGGCGGGGUACGCGAAGUAGCGACUUUCUGCGGUACCUUUACGCAGGGUCGCCAUCUAGUGACGGCAGGAUAUACUGCUGCGUUCGGCCGCGAAGCCGGCCGACGCUACAAGUUGGGAACGUUUCUGAAUACUUCAUGUGCAAAGACACAACUCCAGACUGAAAGGUCAUUACAGUCCCAGUGGACAAAGAUUAAGGACUGCCUGUCCACAUGGAAACAACUCGAAUGUCCACCAGCAGGAGACUCCUUAAAUGAAUUAUGUAUGGGUAUGUAUUUAAUAGCAAUGUCUUGGAAAUAAAAUAUAUGCACAUAUAAUAACAACGUAGGUAAGACAGGCAUGGAAAAAAAUCCAGAAGACAAGAUAUUGAAAUGUUAAUAACCGAGAUGUCUGGGGGGCAUGAAAUUUCUUUCUAUAGCAUGUAUUUCUGUAAUAUUUAAAUUUCUGUAAAAUUUAAAUUUAAAUCACAAGCAUGUAUUGCUGUUAUAAGCAGAAAAAGAUUCUAUUUAUUUUUUAAUGUUCAUUUAUUUUGAGAGAGAGAGAGCGUGAGGAGAGGCCAAGAGAGAGGGAGAGAGAGAAUCCCAAGCAGGCUCCUCUCUGUCAGCGCAGAACCUGACACAGGGCUCAAUCUCGUGAACCGUGAGAUCAUGACCUGAGUUGAAAUCAAGAGUUGGACGACGUUUAACCCAUGGGUCACCCAGGCGGCCCGUAAAUGGCCUCCUGAUGACAAAGCCCCCAUGGCUCUACAUUGAAGGCACAACGGAGACUGCUCCAAAGCCUGGGCCUCACCCUAAGGGAGCCCACAGGGCCUAACACAGCUGGUGGCUAAAUUGGGGUUUUCUGCUACUUACAGUUAGAGUGGUGAAUGCUACAUGCUAACUCGAGAUUUAAAAAAGGGAGGUAAGGGAAAGAUACUCCAGGGUCAUAUGACAUCCACAGAUACAGACAAGCAAGCUUUAGGAAGGGCUGGGACCAGAGAAAUUCCAGGGACCUGAAGAGGAG
Molecule: long non-coding RNA, 1062 nt
Organism: Panthera uncia (snow leopard)
Lineage: Eukaryota; Metazoa; Chordata; Mammalia; Carnivora; Felidae
Exons: 3
Source: RefSeq, a predicted model, not a curated record